CCUACGGGAGGCAGCAGUGGGGAAUAUUGGGCAAUGGGCGCAAGCCUGACCCAGCAAUGCCGCGUGAAGGAAGAAGGCUUUCGGGUUGUAAACUUCUUUGACAGGGGAAGAGCAGAAGACGGUACCCUGAAAACAAGCCACGGCUAACUACGUACCAGCAGCCGCGGUAAUACGUAGUUGGCAAGCGUUGUCCGGAUUUACUGGGUGUAAAGGGCGUGUAGCCGGGAAGGCAAGUCAGAUGUGAAAUCUGGAGGCUCAACCUCCAAAUUGCAUUUGAAACUGUUUUUCUUGAGUACUGGAGAGGCAGACGGAAUUCCUUGUGUAGCGGUGAGAUGCGUAGAUAUAAGGAGGAACACCAGUGGCGAAGGCGGUCUGCUGGACAGCAACUAACGGUGAGGCGCGAAAGCGUGGGGAGCAAACAGGAUUAGAUACCCGUGUAGUC
RNAcentral lists this ribosomal RNA (442 nucleotides) under uncultured bacterium. Its description in RNAcentral is "partial 16S ribosomal RNA". It matches the Rfam family "Bacterial small subunit ribosomal RNA", at positions 338 to 795 of the family's 1533-position model. The record is from RNAcentral.